RNAcentral lists this ribosomal RNA (373 nucleotides) under uncultured Allobrachymonas sp. RNAcentral describes it as "bacterial SSU rRNA". It matches the Rfam family "Bacterial small subunit ribosomal RNA", at positions 995 to 1382 of the family's 1533-position model. Lineage: Bacteria; Pseudomonadati; Pseudomonadota; Betaproteobacteria; Burkholderiales; Comamonadaceae. The record is from RNAcentral.
AGUGCUACGAAAGAAGAACCUGCACACGAGGUGCUGCAGUGGCUGUCGUCAGCUCGUGUCGUGAGAUUGGUUAGGGUUAACGUCCCGCAACGGGCGCAACCCUUGCCAUUAGUUGCUACGAAAGGGCACUCUAAUGGGACUGCCGGUGACAAACCGGAGGAAGGUGGGGAUGACGUCAAGUCCUCAUGGCCCUUAUAGGUGGGGCUACACACGUCAUACAAUGGCCGGUACAGAGGGUAGCCAACCCGCGAGGGGGAGCCAAUCCCACAAAGCCGGUCGUAGUCCGGAUCGCAGUCUGCAACUCGACUGCGUGGAGUCGGAAUCGCUAGUAAUCGCGGAUCAGCAUGUCGCGGUGAAUACGUUCCCGGGUCUU